Diabrotica virgifera virgifera (western corn rootworm) is the source of this 711-nucleotide long non-coding RNA. RefSeq lists it as uncharacterized. Lineage: Eukaryota; Metazoa; Arthropoda; Insecta; Coleoptera; Chrysomelidae. The record is from RefSeq and is a predicted model, not a curated record. The transcript has 2 exons.
UUCACACGUGGUAUUUGUGACAUUUGAUAGACGUCAAGUUUUAUUUUUGUUUGUAAAAAUGGAAUAUUUAUAUUGCUUGUAGGUUAUUAUUAUUUAAUUUCUAUAAAAUGGUAAUGUGUUGGGUACCCGAAUGGUUAUCAUUGAUAUUGAAAUCUGCUGAAAGGAGUAAAACUACUCAUUUUAUGUUCCUGCUAUUUUUAUAAAGAAGAUAAAGAAAAUCUUCUCACCAUAUUUUCAAAUAGGACUGGUGAAGAUGCUGAAGAAAUGCAGUAGUACUAUCUUGUGUGUAAAAUCCUUGAUUUUGUGUAAUUUAUAAAAUUGAAAGCAAUAUGAUAUGACUAACAAGGAUUGUGUCUAUAAAAAAAUAUAUCACAGUUACAAUAAUAAUGCAUUAUUGUCUUUUUUGAUAACUAUAAAAUGCACAUACAACGUUGUUCCAGCAUAGUAUUCUAGUAUAGAUUUCCAUUUCAGCAUAUCAAGAACAAUCACAAUUUAGUGAAAGUGUACAUGGAAAUAACAACUACUGUAUAUUGAAAUAUUGUUUAAUAUUUAAUAUGCUAAGUAAUAUUCAGUUAGAAUAUUAUCAUGGAUCAUGGAUGGGUGAAAUAUCAGUUUUAACAAAAAAAAAAGAAUGUGUUGUAUUUUGUAUGCACCUAAGAAGUUAUACUUCUAUUAUAUGAUUUCAAUGAAAUAAACAUAUUUUAAACAGUU